RNAcentral lists this ribosomal RNA (522 nucleotides) under uncultured bacterium. RNAcentral's name for it is "bacterial SSU rRNA". It matches the Rfam family "Bacterial small subunit ribosomal RNA", at positions 8 to 518 of the family's 1533-position model. The record is from RNAcentral.
AGAGUUUGAUCCUGGCUCAGGAUGAACGCUAGCUACAGGCUUAACACAUGCAAGUCGAGGGGCAGCAUGGUCUUAGCUUGCUAAGGCUGAUGGCGACCGGCGCACGGGUGAGUAACGCGUAUCCAACCUUCCCCAUAGUAGGGGAUAGCCCGGCGAAAGUCGGAUUAAUACCCUAUGUUAUUCGAUGCAGACAUCUAAGUUGAAUCAAAGGUUUACCGCUAUGGGAUGGGGAUGCGUCUGAUUAGGUUGCAGGCGGGGUAACGGCCCACCUGGCCCACGAUCAGUAGGGGUUCUGAGAGGAAGGUCCCCCACAUUGGAACUGAGACACGGUCCAAACUCCUACGGGAGGCAGCAGUGAGGAAUAUUGGUCAAUGGACGAGAGUCUGAACCAGCCAAGUAAGCGUGCAGGACGACGGCCCUAUGGGUUGUAAACUGCUUUUAUGCGGGGAUAAAGUGAGGGACGUGUCCCUUUUUGUAGGUACCGCAUGAAUAAGGACCGGCUAAUUCCGUGCCAGCAGCGGC